Molecule: RNA transcript, 3252 nt
Organism: Apis dorsata (giant honeybee)
Lineage: Eukaryota; Metazoa; Arthropoda; Insecta; Hymenoptera; Apidae
Gene name: centrosomal protein of 89 kDa-like
Exons: 7
Source: RefSeq, a predicted model, not a curated record
AAUAAGUAUCUAGUUACUAUGACAAUGAGUAGGAUACAAAUAUGGAAAUUAAUAAAAAUAUGCAGUGGUAUACAAAUAUAUGUAUGCAUAUUUUGUUUAAGUAAAUUUAUGGUAUUAUUACUGUGCGAAGUUGGUUAAUUUAUUCAUUAAUUUAAAUAUUUUAAUUAGUUUCGAAUGAAUAAUUUUAUAAACUAUAUCUUAAACUACAAAAAAAGAAAAAGCAAUGGCCAGUGUUAAUACUAGUAUUGAACAAGAAAGAAAAAAGCAUAGUCAUAGAAGAGCAACAAGUGUUAAAAGCAAUCAAGAUACAACUUUUGUACCAGUAUAUUGUCGUAGACAUAUUUCAAAGACAAAACAUACACUUAAAGCGCAUAAGAAUUUAUCAGAUUGCAUAACUGAUAAUGAUAAUGAUAUGAAAAAUCAUGAGGAUGAAGUACUUUCGAAAAGAAAAAGUAAAAUAUAUGAACAUGAAAGAAGUAAAAAAUUAACUGAAGAGAAUAAUUCUCAGAAAACAUCGUUUGACAAGGAUGAUGCAGAUUCGGGUAUUAAUUUAUCAAGAUUAAAAGAUAAGUAUGUUUCAAAGGAAACAUUGAAAAUAGUUAAUGAAUACCAUAAAUUGGAAAAAUGUUACAAAAAUAUUCAAGAAGAAUGUCAAAAAUUAAAUAAUAUUUUGGAGCAAAGGGAAUUGGAAUAUAAGAAAUUAUGUUUACAUUAUGAGGCAUUGAUACAGAUGGUUCAAGAAUUAGAAGAAGCAAAAAUUAAUUUACUUAAACAAAAUAAACAACUUGAAACAGAAAAGAUUCAAUCGAAUGAGGAUAUUACGCUUUUAAAAACUAUUGUAUAUCAAUUAAAUGCUGAAUUAGAAAGAUACCAAGACAAAUUAGGAGACCGAAAACAUGAAAAUGUUUCUGCAUCCAAUAACGGUAACAAUGAAAAGAAAUAUGAUUCAAGAAUUUGGGGAAAUAUCAAUUUUCAUGCAUUAGGUCCACUUUUAAAUGCUUAUCAAGAAAAUUUAUUAGAAAAACAAGAACUUAUAUAUAUGUAUGAACAGGAAAUGGCUGAUUUUAGUAGUAGAUGUAAACAAAUUCUUACAGAAAAUGAAAUUAUGCAUAAAGAAGUAGAAGAAUUGAAAUCAGAGUGUGACAGGUAUACAAAGGAAAUACAAAAAAUGGUUGAAAAUACCGCGUUGCUAAAGAAACAGAAUGAUAUUUUAAAAAAGGAAACUUUAAAUAUAAAAAGAGAAACUAAUGAUAUUCGUUCGUCAUAUGAAUCAAAAAUAGAAGUGAUUUUAAAAUGCAAUGAAGCUCUAAAAAAAGAGCAUUCAAUAACAAUAUCAGAAUUGAGCAAUUUACGAGGGAAAUAUGAAAUUUUAAGUAAAGAAUUUGAAGAAAUGAGGAAUAAAGAACAACAAACAGUGCCUACUACUGUUCAUGUUACUGCUAUUGAAGAAUGUAAAAUAUUAUUGGAUGAAUUAAAAUAUCAAUAUGAAAAUGAAAAACGUGAUCUUUGUAAUCAUAUAAAACAUAUAGAGGAAAUUCAACCUGAAAAUGAAAAAAAACUUAUAAUGGUUAUAGCCGAAAGAAAUCAUUUGAAAGGACUUGUUAACAAUCUUGAAACAACUUUAAAACGAACUCAACGUAAAAGUGAACAAAUGCAAACUCUUGUUUAUUCGACUCGUGUUUCACGUAAUUCUUUGAAAGAGAAAUUAAGUAAAGUAACUGCUUAUUGUGAAGAAUUAUUUUCGGAAUAUGAAAGAAUUGUUUCAGAAAGAGAAAAAUUACUAUCUUUUUUACGUGAAACGGAAAAAGAAAAUGCAAAUAUGGAUCGUCUUGGUAAAAGUAUUACUAGUCGAGUGGAAGGCUUAAAAAAUCAAUUAGAAAUUGUUCGAAAAGGUACGAAACAACAGGUAGAUUCUGUAGAAAAACGUAUAAAAUUACAAGAACUUCAUGUACGUCGAAUGAAACACGAUUAUCAACGUAAAAUACAAUAUUUAAACGAUGUAAUUAAACAACAGGAAGAUAUUAUUGGCAAAUUACAAAAAGAAAAACAUUCUAGUCAAGAUACGUUAACAAGACGAGUACUUCAGGCAACAAAUGAGCCAAACAAUUAUAGUACUGGACCAAAAAAUUCGUGAAUUAAGUUCGUAAAAUAUUUCCAUAUUAUUAAACUCAUAUUAAGAUCAUCCAUAAUAGAUUGGACUUUGAAAUUGAUUUUUAACCAAUCUCGUAAUAAGCAUCUAAUUAUGGAAUAGGUGCUACUCGAAACACCGUCCUCGUAUUUACCGACCGUGUCAGUCGCUUUAUUUAGCGGUGACAUCAAAUGAAGCAAAUGGCUACGAAGGCUACCGUGUGGACGCCACUGUAUGAACGACUGAUGGCAGUGGAGACUAAUAAUCAUAUAGUGAAAAGUUGAUGUCAUCCGUUAUAGAAUGUUGCAAAUGGAAGAUAGUAUCGAGGAUAAUGAGGGUGGAAUUAAACUUAAGAAAUUUUGACAAAUAAAAUACUGAAAAAUCUUCGAUUCAUGGCACAAAAUAUACAAACAACAACGGGAAUUGAAGACUGCAAUUGAAAGAGGUCGAAUCUGAUUUGUCCAUUUUCAACCAAAUCUAACUUGACCUAAGCGCCGCUGACGACAAAGAUACGAAGUAUUGCUGAUUAUCGGCGUGCUGGAAGCACGUUACGUUGCUGGCUAAGCAACUAUUGUACGUAUUGGCGUGUAUCGUCAAAAGGACGCCAGACAUCGCGUACGCUUUCCCUGUUCGUCGUCUCCUUGCCACCUCUCUUCCUUCCGUUACGCCGGUGCAGUUCGUGCACUUCUACGCCGUGGUACGUUACUCUACCCUACAGCAGAGUCGUGUACAAUAAAUAAACGCGCGGCAUGUAUACGGGUUCCACGUGCUUUUCGUUCGGCUAAAACUAUUUUCGACUAUAAAACUAUUGAUUUCGAAGUAGAAAAAAGAAGAGAAAAAAAAUAUCAUUAGUGAAAUCUAAAUCAGGGAAGAAGAAACCGGUAACGAGGAUGUCGUGUCUAAUAUUGUGUGCAAAGUUGCCAAAUGCCUGCUGUCGAUAACACGGCGACUUAGUUCGGUGCACUAUUCGCCACUGCCUUGCGAACUCUAUUGAACGAAAACGACGUAAUACUUAGAAGCUCUUUGUGUGUCGCGGUUGUGAAAUUGCCAAGUGGUUGUGAAACAGUGCCGAGCAAAAGAGGAGUUGCACGAAUAUGGUGUAAAAAAAAAAAAAGAAGUUUCAA